Molecule: long non-coding RNA, 3405 nt
Organism: Cyprinus carpio (common carp)
Lineage: Eukaryota; Metazoa; Chordata; Actinopteri; Cypriniformes; Cyprinidae
Exons: 3
Source: RefSeq, a predicted model, not a curated record
UCUGUGUGGAUUAAUUAAAGACUAUUUACCCUUGAGUUUCAUCUUCCUGUGCUUUCCUCAACACUGUAAGCGUGGGAACCACUGUAAUGCAGUUUUAUUAAGUAUCAGCCAUUUUCACGUUUUCAGCUAAUAGUAAUGAAUGUUUAUGUUCAAUAGAAUGGUUUCUGAAGGAUCAUGCAACACUGAAGACUGGAGUAAUGAUGCUGAAAAUGUGUGUUCUUGCCACCAUAGAAAUAAAUUACAUUUCACUUUAAAUUGUAGUAAUGUUUCACAAUGUAACUAUCUUUUUAGUUUUUACUGUUUUUACUGUAUUUUUGAUCAAAUUCAACCUUGGUGAGCGGAAUAGGUUUAUUUUAUAAACGUUUGGACCUCAAACUUUGAAACUGUAGUGUAUGAUUUAAUCUAGUAUGAGUUAAAGUUAUUGUAAUGUUAUAUUUACAAAAUCUAUUAUAUUUUACUUCAUUGCACCAGAUCCUCAAGUUCCAGCCCAUGUCACCAGAGCCACUGCAGAUGUGUCCAGUCCCGCUCAGCCAUGCAGUAUUGUCUCAACAGCUCCUUCUGGGGCAUUAUUGCAAGGUCCAUCUGUAGUUCCACUUCCUCGUUUGUGUUCUGAGACCUUGCCACCAGAGGAUCACAAGUGGAUUGGCAAAAGGCUUUUUAAAAUGGGAUUCCCAGGGAACAUACAUACUGGGCCUCUUGGGCAUGGUUUUCGGAUUGGCAGCUGGUUGUGAACUGGUGCCCUGCACAACUGUAGGCUGUAACCGUGGCAUUCCCUGGACCAUUGGGAUUCCCUGAACCAUUGGUACUCCCUGACCAACUGGCAUUCCCUGGACCAUUGGCAGUCUUUGAACCAUUUGCAGACCUUGGAACACUGGCACACCCUGAAGCAUCGACACACCCUGGAAACCUGGUGCUGCUGGUAUAAGUAUGUUGGGUAACAUCUGCACUGAUGCUCCAGGUGCUGAUGGCGUAACCAGUGUAAGACUCUGUGCUGGUGCCUUGGGUCUGAGAGGUGGUCUUCCAGUAGAAAUCUGCCUCUGCUUUGCCUGACCUGCUGUGCACUCUGGUAGCUUGUACUGGUGCUGCUCCCCUGGUUGUUCUGGCUCAGUCCAAAAGGCAUUUGGCAGCCUUGGAGAGGUUCCUGAGCUUCAGGGAGGGGCUGAGGCAACUGAAUGCCCUGAAGCAGCACAGACAGCUCCUGCAUUUUAUGUCUGUUAUACCACUGAAUCAGGGUGUUCUGGUUAACCUCCACCAGCCGCAUUGAGGCCCCCCCCAUCAACAAGCUGUUGCCCAGUACAAGCUACCUUAUCCUUCUGUAGUCUUGGAGGAUCAGAGACCAUCUCGACAGCAUUCCCUUGCCUCUUCUUUUGGGGCUUGGGUGAAUAGUGCAAAGCCUGAUGAAGAUGGUCUCCACCAGACCGUCAGGCCACUGAGCUGGUGCGCUGCUUGCACCCAGCACACUUCUGGUGGUGCUCUCUACUCCUCUGGCUCUGAGGAGUGUGGUGAAAUAGGUGUUCCAGAGGUAACAGGUGGGACGGCAGUCCCUGAGGGUCCAGGUGAUGAAGGAGAAGGUGUAGGGUCAGGGACCAGUGAAGGGGAUAUGCAACCCAGUACAGCCGUGUCACUGCUGGUGACCAGGGUGGAAGAGCCCAGUGUCAGUGUGGAGGAGGGUGGUGACAGAACAACCUCUGGAUCUGCAAUGGUGUGAUCCUCGCUCAUGUCACAAAAGCCCUCAUCUUCAUCUCGCUCCUCUACAUUUAGGUCCUCGAUGAGUUCUGCUGUCUCUUCAGAGUCUAGGUUCAUGUCCUGCAGUGCUUGACCAGUCUGCUGGAACAGAUACUGCACUCCAAUGAGCUCAUCUGGAAUAAAAAUAAUAAACCGGAAUUAAAUACACAGGUUGUGUAUCAUAUUUGAUACAUAAGGCCUUAGAAGUAGCUCAUAUAGUGUAAUAAUGUGAGAACAUGGAGCUCAUAGUCGAGGAGAAAAAAAAAUAUUCAGAGGCCAUAAGCCUAUAACUGUGGGGGCAAAACAUAAUGUUAUGCAAUACAAUGAUGAUUGAGAGACAUACAAAUAAACAUUACUCAAAACCCUAAUGAGCAUAUUUGAUACAUGUAACUUGACUUUUCCGAUCAAGGUAACUUCAGUACAGUAAAUAGUCACAAAAUAUUACUAAUAAUAUCCAAUUUUUUUCUUUCUAAAAAUAAUUACUUUCUAAUAAUAAAGAUUUCACAGCAAAUGGUAGACACACACAAAUGGUAAAUACAAUUAUACUGAAAUGCCUUUUACUUGAUAGAAAAUAAUCAGAUGACAAAAGGCAUGUUUCAAGAAUUUUUUUUUAUCAUGUUGAUAAUUUAGAGGUCUAAAUUACAGAUACAGUAGACUUUAUAGGCUUAAAUAAAAUAUAGACUGAGAUUACACAGAAAUUGCAAGUUAAUUAAUGAUAAUACAUUAUUUUACCAGUGUUACGUGCAGGUGGACAAAAUGAGGGGACCUCUUUCCUGCCAAACAGCUUUUCAUAAUUGCUGUUUACACAGUGAACAAGUUCUCCUGUGUAGCUGCGUAAAGCUGAUGGCUCCGAUGACAGGGAAGCAGCCUCCUGAUCCUGGUUCCACCUGUGUAGACCCUCCAGCAAAUAAAUCUGAAAGUUCAGACUGUUUGCACUGGUCCUUGUAAACAGACAACAGUUUUUAGUGAGGGGUAAACACACAGACACUUAAUGUUCUUACUUUACAUAUGCACAGUGUGUGUGACAAAUGAAAUGGUUAAGGUGGGAUGAAAUGGUUAAGGUGUAAAUGAAAGGAUUCAAAAGAAGUGGAGCCUCUGGCACAUGUCUUCAGAAGCACACCUCCCUUGGUUAAGCUCCCGAGGGCAACACCAGGGGGGUCUUGGAUACACUUGAUGUGCUUCUUCUGGACACUCCAGGUUUGCUCCAUCCUUUCUCGGUCCAGGAGAGGAACACCCAGGGAGUCAUUUCCCUUGCUGCUCAGGAGCUCUGUAAGCAGUCGUUCAAGGAGAAGGAUGGUAGUCUCCUCUCCACGUGUCCUCCUCCGGCAAUGUAGAGCCAGCUCCUCCCUGUUCAGAUGCUUGCUGACAUCUUCAUCUGUCAGCGCAGGCCAACCCUGGGACAUCAACAGCUCUCUCUUUGCUUUGCGAAACAUAGAAAUAUCAGCUGCAUCUCAUUCAAAGAUGCAUGAUGAUAGCCGUGACAUGAAGAUGGGGUACAGCUGAUGGGCAUCAGUUGUACACCCCAAGGCAAUCCUGCGCAUAAAAUGCCAGAUGUCCAAGCAUAUCAUGAGAUCUUGCCAGCCUCUGAAUCUGGUUUUCAGCUUGGUCUCACCCACCUCGGUGCAGCACCCACAGUCCACGUACAACACAGCAGGAGGAUUCACACCAGCCUGCUGGUAU